AGUCGAACGGCCGCGCGUGAGCAUCCUGGCGGCGAGUGGCGAACGGGUGAGUAAUACAUCGGAACGUGUCCUGUAGUGGGGGAUAGCCCGGCGAAAGCCGGAUUAAUACCGCAUACGAUCUACGGAUGAAAGCGGGGGAUCGCAAGACCUCGCGCUAUAGGGGCGGCCGAUGGCGGAUUAGCUAGUUGGUGGGGUAAAGGCCCACCAAGGCGACGAUCCGUAGCUGGUCUGAGAGGACGACCAGCCACACUGGGACUGAGACACGGCCCAUACUCCUACGGGAGGCAGCAGUGGGGAAUUUUGGACAAUGGGCGCAAGCCUGAUCCAGCAAUGCCGCGUGUGUGAAGAAGGCCUUCGGGUUGUAAAGCACUUUUGUCCGGAAAGAAAUCCUCUGGGUUAAUACCCCGGGGGGAUGACGGUACCGGAAGAAUAAGCACCGGCUAACUACGUGCCAGCAGCCGCGGUAAUACGUAGGGUGCGAGCGUUAAUCGGAAUUACUGGGCGUAAAGCGUGCGCAGGCGGUGAUGUAAGACCGAUGUGAAAUCCCCGGGCUUAACCUGGGAACUGCAUUGGUGACUGCAUCGCUGGAGUAUGGCAGAGGGGGGUAGAAUUCACGUGUAGCAGUGAAAUGCGUAGAGAUGUGGAGGAAUACCGAUGGCGAAGGCAGCCCCCUGGGCCAAUACUGACGCUCAUGCACGAAAGCGUGGGGAGCAAACAGGAU
This 721-nucleotide ribosomal RNA is filed under the name Burkholderia sp. Ms85. RNAcentral's name for it is "bacterial SSU rRNA". It matches the Rfam family "Bacterial small subunit ribosomal RNA", at positions 60 to 778 of the family's 1533-position model. The record is from RNAcentral. Lineage: Bacteria; Pseudomonadati; Pseudomonadota; Betaproteobacteria; Burkholderiales; Burkholderiaceae.